CGGCGGCCGAGCCCACCUUCCAGAGCGUGGCGCUCAUCCUCGGCUCCACGGGGAUCGUCGGCACCUCCCUCCUCGACAUCCUCCCCCGCGACGACACCCCGGGCGGGCUAUGGAAGGUGUACGCGGUCUCCCGCCGCGCGCCGCCGGCCUGGUCGACCCCGCCGCCGUCCCCCGCCGUCACGCACCUCCAGCUCGACCUCGCCGACCCGGCCGCCGUCAAGGACGCCCUCGGGCCCCUCACGGACGUCACCCACGUCUUCUACGCCGCCUGGUCCAGCCACGAGACGGAGGACCGGAACCGGGAGGUCAACGCCGGCAUGCUCCGCAACGUGCUCUCCGUCGUUGUCCCCAACUGCCCCGCGCUCGCCCACGUCUGCCUCCAGACCGGCCGCAAGCACUACGUCGGCCCGUUUGAUGUCAUCGGCAAGAUCCCCGCCCCCGACCCGCCCUACACCGAGGACAUGCCCCGCCUCGACCACCCCAACUUCUACUACGACCUCGAGGACGUGCUCUUCGACGAGGUCUCCCGCCGCGACGGCGCUGUCAGCUGGUCCGUGCACCGCCCCACCGUCAUCUUCGGAUUCUCCCCCCGCAGCGCCAUGAACGUCGUCGGCAGCCUGUGCGUCUACGCUGCCAUCUGCCGUAAGGAGGGCGCCACGCUGCGGUGGCCCGGCUGCCAGGUUGCCUGGGAGGGCUUCACGGAUGCCUCCGACGCCGACCUGGUCGCCGAGCACGAGAUCUGGGCGGCCGUCGACCCGUUCGCCAAGAACGAGGCUUUCAAUUGCAGCAAUGGGGAUGUGUUCAAGUGGAAGCAGCUCUGGCCGAUGCUGGCCGACCGCUUUGGGGUGGAGUGGGCGGGGUAUGAGGGAGAGGACAACCGGUUUUCGCUCUCCGACGCCAUGGCUGGGAAGGAGGCCGUGUGGACAGAGAUCCUCCAGGAGAACGAGCUUGUCACGACGGAGCUUGAGGAGAUCACCAGCUGGGGGUUCGUUGAUGCCAUGUUCAAUAUCGACAUCGAGCAUUUGGACAACAUGAAUAAGAGCAAGGAGCAUGGGUUCCUCGGCUUCCGUAACACCAUCAACUCCUUCAUCGCUUGGAUCGAUAAGAUGAAGGCUUCCAAGGUUGUUCCUUGAUGCUCUUAUUGUCUAGUACUCUAUUGUUCUUUACAGCGUAUGCCACCAGAUCCCAUUUUAUCUCUCAUUUAUCAAUUUGCUUCUGAAAUUAGUUACAUGCCGUUAUUUGUGCCAAUUGUUGUAAUCUAGAAUAAGCCAGAACCAAAUAAAGCUCCCAAGUUGUGAAUCGGUUUUCUUUGCCCGUCAUGUCUUCAUUGCAUUGCGAGUUGCGAGCGUUAAAUCGUUAUUUUACAUCCAUCUGAUGUUCAUUCUUGCAAAUCAGAAAGUAGUAGCACUUGUGUUUGGUAUUGUUGCCCUGUUGCUUUUAUCUUCAGAACAACCGAGAUAGUUCCCUUCACUGAGAAGGAACAAAAGGAAACCAUUUGUUUUGCUCACCUCUGUUUAUUGAUAUUGCCAUUGGAGGCAAACAUGAUGACAGAUAACAACAGCAACAUGUCCUUCUCUUGCCAAUUGUUUCCAGGAAGUUGAUCUCCCGAAGCAACAAAUAUUGUGAUGGUAGGAAAAUUUAAAUGAACAGCUAAGCUUUGCUAUGGUAGCAGAUAACAAUGGCAUCAUGAUCGUUCUACUAGUUGAUUAAGGAUUAAAAAUUAUAAGUUUUGGGUCACUGAUCACAGGAUCAGAUAACUUGCACUGCACAGUAGGUGAUGAGAAUCUGAAUAAUGUUGUCUGUUGGGUUGUAUUUUUUCUUAAUCUCUGGAUGUGUUCCUUGUGCGGCUUUCUUUGUGCUAGUGGACCGGAUGACACCGAAACAUACUAGUAUAUGCUCAAAAAUCAGUACUCUUGUAUGACAAGACAAGAUGUACAUGAAAGUGCUCUGUUAUUGUACUGGCAUUGUUAAAUCUAAGAAAAAUAUUGGACCUCUUCAUUUAUUUAUGUCCGGCCAUGUGAUUUGCACCUCUGUUAUUUAGGAGAUUGCUUGAUAUUGUGACUAGAUGGUGGAAGGAUGUAAUCUUGGUUGUAAUUUGUCAGCCUCUUUUGCCUAAUGGUUGAAAACGAAAUAAAAAUGGUAUGCAUAUACCGAAAACAAACCUCAGAGGCUCAGAUGAUCUGCACUCACACAUGCUAUGCCUUUGUUCCUAAAAAAUACGAGUCUCUUUGGUUUGCUCCAAUCUCCCAAAAACUUGAUUGCAUUCUGUUUUUAUAUACGACAACUUCUCGCCAGUACAAUGUACAAAACACAUAUGGCAGCUUCGGAACAGCCAGACAAUUUAUAAUGGUUAUAAUGGUCACACGAACAAAUGCGAUUAUUAGAUUGAUGCACACUCUGCGGGGUUGUAUCAUCACAAAAACUGUGAGUCUGAGUUUUUUAUUUAUUUACCAAAACACCAUCAACUAACUUAUCAUGUUGAUGGAGCAUGUUUUUCAUUCACAACUAAAGGAAAAAAAACGGUUAACAUCAAGAUGAGGUAUUGUCAAAUGUUGCUCCAGGGAACAAAAACAUUCAGAAUUCAAUAUUUUCUUAAUGUUAAAUCAUUAUUUUUCAUCCAUAUGUUGCUCAUUCUUGUAAGACAGAAGUAGAACUAUCUGUGUUUGGUAUUGCUGAUGUGUUGUUGUUGUCUGUAUAGUGUUGUACUUCUAAUGUUCAGAAGUGAGAUAGUUUCCUUCAGUGAAUGAGAAGAAACAGAAGCAACAAACACUGCUAUGGUACUAGCAGAAUUUCCCAUCCAUUUGUUUCCCUUUGAUUUUUAAUGCAAAUUGGAGGCGAACAUGAUAACAGAUAACAAUUGCAACAUGUCAUUUUCGUCACUGAGAAGGAACAAAAGCCAACCAUUUGUUUUGCUCACCUCUGUUUAUUCAUAGUGCAAUUGAAGGCAAAAAUGAUGACAGAUAACAAUGACAACAUGUCUUUUUCUGAUAACCUCUGCUCUUUAGAAGAUCGGUUGAUAUUGUCAUGACCUUGGUUGUGACCAACUGUCUUUCCAACAAAUGCAUUGUCAAAGGAUGUAGUUGCGGCUGUAAUUCAUCGCAGCUAAAUUGUUACCACGGGCUUCUUUUGCCAUAUGGUUGGAAAAUAAAUAAAAACGGUAUGCAUAUAGUUGGGAAUCCACAAAAACAAAGGCUAAGCUCUCCUCAUUCAGGCAUGCUAUGCCUUAGUUCCUAAAUAAUGUGACUCUCUGGUUUCCUCCAAUCUCCCAACACUUGCAUUCUGUUUUCACAUAUGACAACUUCUUGGCAGCACAAUGUACAAAACACAUAUAGUGGUUUCAGAACAGCCAGGCCAUUUAUAAUGGUUAUUAGGUCAUGCAGAACAAGUGUGAUUUUUAGAUUCAUGCACUCCCUGUGGGGUUGUUUUAUCACAAAAACAUUCAGAAAUCAUCAUUUUCUGAAUGUUAAAACAUUAUUGUCAUAUGUUUGGUAUUGUUGGCCUGUUGCUUUUGUCUUCAGACACUGAGAUAUCUUUUUCACUGACAAGGAACAAAAGGCAACCAUUCGUUUUCCUCUUCUAUGUUAAUUGUCCAAUUAGAGAAAACAUGAUGACAGAUAACAAUGGCAACAUGUCCUUUUCUGCCAAUAAUUUCCAGGAAGUUGAUCUCCAGAAGCAACAGACAUUGUGAUGACAUGAGAGGACAAUUUAAAGAACACUUUAGCUUUGCUACGGUAGCAGAUAACAAUGGCAUCAUGAUCGUUCUACUAGUUAUUUAAGGAUUGAAAAUUAUAUGUUUUGGGUCAUGGAUCACAGGAUCAGAUAACUCGCACCGCACAGUAGGUGAUGAGAAUCUGAAUAAUGCUAUCUGUUAAGUUGUAUUUUUUUAAUCUCUGGAUGUGUUCCUUGUGCGCCUUUCUUUGUGCUAGUGGACCGGAUGACACGGAAACAUACUAGUAUAUGCUCAAAAAUCAGAACGAAAAGUAUUGGAUCUCUUCAUUUAUUUAUGCCGGGCCAUGUGAUUUACACCUCUGCUCCUUAGGACAUUGCUUGAUAUUGGCAUGACCUCAAUUGUGACUAGAUUGUCGAAGGAUGUAAUCGUGGUUGUAAUUCGACGCAGCCUCUUUUCCCAAAUGGUUGAAAACAAAAACUUAGACAUGCUAUAUAGUCAGCAAUUCGCGAAAACAAAUAUGGGCCGGUCUGCGCUCACACAUGCUAUCCCUUAGAUCAUAAAAAAUACGAGUCUCUUUGGUUUCAUCCAAUCUCCCAAAAACUUACUUGCAUUCUGUUUUUAUACGUGACAACAUCUUGCCAGCACAAUAUACAAAACACAUAUGGUGGCUUGGGAACAGCCGGGCAAUUUAUAUUGGUUAUAAUGGUCACACAAAAGAAAUGCGAUUGUUGGAUUCAUGCACUCUGUGUGGGGUUGUGUCAUGACAAAAACUCUGUAUGUCAAUAAGGCUUUCCUUUUACCAAAACACCAACAAGUAAAUUGUCAUGUUGAUGGAGCAUGUUUUUUAUUCCCCCCAAAAAAUAUAAACCUUUAGCAUCAAGAUGGGGUAUUGUCAAAUGUUGCUUCAGGGAACAAAAACAUUGAGAAACAAUGUUUUUCUGAAUGUUAAAUCACUACUUUUCAUCCAUCUGUUGCUCAUCCUUGUAAGGCAGAAGUAGUAGUACAUGUGUUUGGUAUUGAUGAUCGGUUACUGUCGUCUGUAACAUGUUAUGCUUCAGCCCUCCGAACUGAGAUAGUUUGCUUCACCGAAUAAGAAGAACAAAAGGCAACCGUUUGUUUUCCUCAUCUCUGUUGAUUGGCAGCGGAAACUGGAGGCAAACAUGAUAGCAGAUAACAAUGGACACAUGUCAUUUUGAGCCAAAUAUUCUCAGGAAGUUAACCUCCAGAAGCAACAAACACUGCUAUGAUCUCUCGAAGCAACAAACACUUGCAUGAUCUCCAGAAGCAAAAUAUACUGCCAUGGCAGCACAGUUUUAGAUGAUUGGUUUAAAUUGCAAUGUCCCAUCUUACUGUAGUUUAUUUUUCAUUUCCCGCAAGGGGAAAACCAUAGAGCAAAUCUUCAAUUCAGCCUCUGGUACAAAGACAAGCUUCAACACGUAUGUACAAAUGUGACGUCGUUUGACUUGGUCUUACUAGUUCACAACGCUCUAGGGGAUUUUUUUUUUGAACCGGGCAAACCCCUUUCUUCUAGGGGAUUUUUGGAUUGAAAGAUCUGAUGUCCAGACGCUGGCUGGCACGUUUGAUUAAUUUAGACCGUUUUAAUGACUUUUCUGACAUAUAGGACCGCCUGGACAGGGCAACAUGGCAAACAAAACUGCCACAUGAGCAGAAUAUUGCAAUUUUUCAUUAGGCAUCGAUGCGUCCCUCCUUGACUGUCAGUCACGGAGUCACCAUGAAGUCGACAGCGACCUCACCGGCGACGUGUACUGCCGAUCGCUCCCCACCGUCCAGCUCUCAUCGUCGGCAACGACCCGCACCACAAACAAAACUGCCACAUGAGCCAAGUUAUCUCACAUUAUGAGCCAGGUGUCAGAAGUUUUUCAUUAGGCAUCGAUGUGUACGUGGCAUGUUUUUCAGAAAUAUGACAUCGGCCACAUAGUGGAUGGCCUUAGUUGCCUGCUGCCAUCUUCCCACCCUAGCCACGCCACCGUACCCGCAGAUCUCGCGCCGCUAUUCAUCUCCGCGCACCAUUGCCUCAGCGCUUCACCGAAGCUCACUCCUCGCGUUCUCCUCCCUGGCUCCAUGCUGCCUACAUGAAGACUAUAUUUUGUAGGAUGAAGCCUUAUGGUCGCCAACCAUAAUGCCGGCUACAAACUAUGAUAGAUUGGUAUAAACAGGCUUGAAGAAGUUGACAACGAGCUGGGCAUUGUUAAGUACGUCCUUCGCUUGUGAGGGCUAGAGGAACGAAAAAUACAGCCAAUGGCUUCACUUAGUUUGUUUUUUUCUAUUAGUCAUCCUAUGAUCGUAGGCUUCUCUUUGGUUUCUUCCAUUAUCUCAACACCUAUUUUGGCACUCUGCUGUUUUUUUCCAAUAUGGCAACUUCAUGGCACAUCAUAUACUACUAUGACAGAAAUUUGUAGGAGUAAAGAUCUUGGAACCUUUGGUAACUUAUAAUAGCGAGGUCACACAAAACAAAUGCAACUUCCACAUUCAUGCAAUCCCUGUGUCAAAUAUUACAGGAACUGUUAUUCAUGCAUUUCCUGUCCUCGCGUCAACCUUUUAAACUCUGUGCCACGAGGUAUAAUUAGUAUUUUUUUUUCUACUGAAAGUGUAACUCUACUCUUGAGCACAAAUGCACCAGCAUGAACAAUGAAUUAUAAAACAAACGAAAAAAAACCGAUUGUUUUUUCUGGAUGAACAUCAACAAAUUUCCAACACACUGCGACAUUUCGCUUUGAAAAGUCAUCUGUAGAGGUGUGUGUGCAAAAAAAUAAAUAUAAAUGAGUGCUCCAAAAUGCAUCUUUUUUUUAGUCCCAAAUUUUAUCUUUUUGUACAAGCCUCCACGAAUGUCUUUUCAAAGUGAAAUUUUGCAAGAUGUUAGAACUUUUGUGGAUGUUCAUACACAAAGAAUUCAGAUAUUUUUGAAGGCUUUAGUCUUGAAACGUUGUUUUUUAGUAGCGCAUCAUUCAAAGUAGAUUUGAGCUAUAAAGCAUGAUCCUGUAGUACAAAUCGCAUGAUUCAGCUAUUUUUGAUCAAUAAGUGAACACCUCGCCAUGUCCAACUAGACCAUGGAGGCAUGCGUUGCUGCACCCAUCCAUCUUAAGGGAAAUAGUGAUGGAAGUAUGUGAGAAAUACAGAGUUAUAGUAACAUGUAAUCUAUUGUGAAUGGUUCACAUAUUGUACAUACACAUAGACAUCGAGGCAUACUUGCUUACCAAUUUUGAAUGCCAUCAUCGAAGGAAAUACUAAAUGACUGAUGACUAUGGUCAUAGCAUAACAAGUAAAUACAAAAUAAAGAUCAAAAUUGCAUUACAAUAAGUUCUUACGAUAAACACCUUAAUAAUGUCAAUGCAUAUCAGGAUGCAUUUUGCUUUAUGACUUGAAAAAACCAACAUUGUGACACGGGGAGAAAACUUUCCCUUUUUCAUUAUGUGUUCUUUUCAUUCUAAUAAAGGUAUAUCCUGCAGUUGUGCAGGACAAAAACAGAAAAUUCAUUGUUAUUUAUGACACAAAAAAUGUUUUAGACAUACCUCAAGUGUGAAGAUAGAAAUGGUACACAAACUAGCUGACUCUUCCCUGCAAGAGAAUCAUAAAACAUUUGUUCUCCUUCAAAGGGAAUGAUUCUAGCUAGCAUGUAGAGCCAAUGUAAAUAUAUUGAAUUAUAAAUUGUCGGUGAUUCAGAAAAAAAGUAGCACACACUAGCGAGCCAUGGUGUUAGAAUUCGAUGCACAACUCGUAACAUGGUGUUAGAACUUAGGGUUUUUUCUCGUACCCACAACUCGUGCUCUC
This 7459-nucleotide long non-coding RNA is filed under the name Hordeum vulgare. RNAcentral describes it as "long non-coding RNA (HVUL_LNC008294)". The record is from RNAcentral. Lineage: Eukaryota; Viridiplantae; Streptophyta; Magnoliopsida; Poales; Poaceae.